AGAGUUUGAUCAUGGCUCAGAAUCAACGCUGGCGGCGCGCCUAACACAUGCAAGUCGAACGAGAAAGUGGAGCAAUCCAUGAGUACAGUGGCGUACGGGUGAGUAACACGUGGGUAAUCUACCUUUUAGUGAGGAAUAACCGAGGGAAACUUCGGCUAAUACCGCAUAAGCCUGAGAAGGGAAAGCAGAAAUGCGCUGAAAGAGGAGCCCGCGGCCGAUUAGCUAGUUGGUGAGGUAAGAGCCCACCAAGGCAGAGAUCGGUAGCCGGCCUGAGAGGGCACACGGCCACACUGGCACUGAAACACGGGCCAGACUCCUACGGGAGGCAGCAGUGGGGAAUCUUGCACAAUGGGGGAAACCCUGAUGCAGCGACGCCGCGUGAGCGAUGAAGCCCUUCGGGGUGUAAAGCUCUUUCGUCAGGGAAGAUAGUGACGGUACCUGGAGAAGCAGCUGCGGCUAACUACGUGCCAGCAGCCGCGGUA
RNAcentral lists this ribosomal RNA (482 nucleotides) under uncultured Acidobacteriota bacterium. RNAcentral's name for it is "bacterial SSU rRNA". It matches the Rfam family "Bacterial small subunit ribosomal RNA", at positions 8 to 522 of the family's 1533-position model. Lineage: Bacteria; Pseudomonadati; Acidobacteriota. The record is from RNAcentral.